Molecule: long non-coding RNA, 1191 nt
Organism: Canis lupus familiaris (dog)
Lineage: Eukaryota; Metazoa; Chordata; Mammalia; Carnivora; Canidae
Exons: 4
Source: RefSeq, a predicted model, not a curated record
AGGUAGAUUAGGAAGACAUUACCAAGAGCCUUAUGUCCCCUUGCUGUGACUGUGGCUUUAACUACAGAUUGUGAAGUCACACUGGGCACUUAAAUAGAAGAAGGGAUCAUACUCAAAGUUCCUCUGAUUAAUAUUGCCCUAGUUGUUCUCUCAGAUCAACUGAAUAUACAGUUUCCUGUCUUUCUGCAUUCUAUAGAAUACUUGAUCACUAUAGAACCCAUCUCUGAUGACAUAGAAACAGACUUGAGCACUGUGCUCCAAUUACAAGGUUUCUAUAACAAGAAUAUCAUAGACUACAUGGCUUGAACAAAAAUUGUUUAUUUAUCACAGUUCUGGAGUUUGGGAAGUGUGAAACUGAGGUGCCUGCAUAGUCAGAUUCUGGAAAGCUAUGUGGAAUGAAUUUGGUGGCAUGUAGACCCAGUUACAAUACUUAACUGUCACAUCACAGCUCCCCAGCCCCCACCACCUUCCACCCAGCCAUGAGGUCACCAACCUGCAACAGCAUGUGUGACAGACCACAGAACCUGGAAUGAAACCCUGGGGCUUGAGUCCUGCUUCUACAACUGAUAACAAUAUAAACUUACACAUUUGAAACCAUGGAACAUUAAUUUUCGCAUUUGUAACAGAGCUAUGAUAUCUGCCUUACAAAGCCCUGUGAAUUUAAAUGAUAAAAUAUAUGUGAGAACAUUUUUCAAACCAUAAAACAAUACAUAAAUAUUCUUUAAAAUAGUGAAACUGCAUUGUAACAAGGACCUCACAAUACUUUAGUAAUUAGAUUUAUCUUCUUGAUAAUACUUGAGAUGGAACUUCUUCAUAUUCAGUUCUUCUCUUUUAAAAAUGACAGUUUUAAGUCAUCUGUGCUUUGAAAAGCCUGCAGAGAAGAAACAGAGGAAGAAGCAAGUAUGGAGGAAAGGAGGGAAGACUUAAAUUCAUUCCAAAGAAGAAAGAAUUUUUUGUUCUGACCAAAAAAAAACAUUGGGCUACUUUAAUCCCCUUGUAUCAAAUAUGAAUUCAAGAAACACUGGUAGAUUUUUUAGCAGUGUCUGAGGUAGAAUAAGCAUAAAAAACAAUUUUUUCAAUAGAUGUAAUCAACUUCAGAUGAUAAUAAUUUGACUAACAAGAUCCCUCUGUGCAUGGCAUGAAUUAUCCUGAGGUUACCAUAAUGGUAUAAGGAGAAACUUCAGAAUUAAA